GGGCGUGUCCUGAUCUUGGGGCUCCUGUCCCGAGUUGUCCCGAACUAUCCCGUAGCUUCCCGCGUCGUCCCCUCUGACCCCGCCGCCGACAGUCCUGCCGCCCUGGGUGAGUCACUGCGGGACCACGUCGCACAGGACCCUCCGGCGGCCUUCAGGGCCCGUGCUGCGACCCCCUGCCCCCACAGGAGGAGAAACUGAGGUCCCGAGGGGAGAGCGGCUGGAGGUCAUCUCCGAGCCCCGGCCCGCUCCCGGUUCCCUGCCCGCCCCCUCCGCCCCAGUAGACCUCUCGGGAUUCGUGUCCUCGAGAAACGGGCCUGUGGGGUCGGCCGACGCUGCUCCGGAGCCGGCGGGCGUCCGGCCCCCGCCCUCACCUCCCGGUGGGAGGACUUGUCCCCUGAUGGCGAGAAACGGGUUCGGCGACGCGUGGCCCGAGGUCCCGCGGGGCGUCGUGCGGAGCCGGGUGUGAACCCGGGCCGGAGGGGCGCCAGAGCCCCCCGAGCCUCACCGCCCACCUCCUCCUCCGACUCCUGGCAUUUAAUCCCCCAAGGCCGCUCGUCGGUUCCUGCAAAGACCCUUAACUCAUUUUCUCUCAAUAACGUUUAAAGGAAAGUGUUAAAACCUCCAUUUUAUAGACCGGUUGACUGAGCCUUAAAUUCAGGACGCUCCCAGGGCCUCCGAGGGGCGGAGUCUGGAUUCCUGCCUCCUGCUUUCGCUAAAGCCCCUUCCCCAUGCUUGUCCCUGCCUAGGCUCUGCGGCUCUCUGGAGAUGGAGGAAGACUUUUCCCUGGACGGCUCUGCGGGCUCUGCAUCAGCCAGCGCCCCCGUCUCUCCUGCAGGACCCUGCUCUGCACUGCCUGCUGCCCCGCUAUGUCCAGGGGGGAGGCUGUCCCCUAGGCCCAGUGCCUGGCAGGUGUCCAGCGUUCAGGAGCUGUGGAACAAAUGCACAGCAGGAGAGAAGAAAAGGAGAGACACAUCCUUGUAAGGUGGCAUGGCUCAUCACGUGGAAGAUUUGAGAAAGACUACACAUGAGCCAGCCAGCCAGGUGGAGAGGAGGCAGCUCGGUACAGAAGGGCCCUUGAGAGGUGUCUCCAUCGUGUCAGGAAGCAGCUGGACGACAGUGCUCCCGAGGUGAGAUGAAUCCACUGUGUGCGGAGGCGAUCACGGGAGCUGUCAUGUCAGGAACAUUCUAGACCUCAGUGUUCUUGACGUAAGAUCUCUAGAGGGUCCAUUCUCUGGAGUGUUGGUUCCUUGCAUCCGGGGCACUGCUGUGGGUCUGGAGAUUGUUGGAGGAAGCCUCAAGGCGGUGGAGGCACUCGCCCUCUCAGGAUGCUGACCUGGGUCGAGCUCUCCUGGGGAGGCCUCCUUGUGGUUAUUUUGGGGUUGAUCGUGGACACUGCAGCGGAGUGAAGAGUGAUGCUGCAAUGUGACGCCUUGCCAGACCUUCUUACCCUGUUGCCUCAGCACGACAGAGGAGGACUUUUCCCUCAGCGUGAGUGGGGUCUCAGGGAUUAUGUCCAGAGCUGGCUCUGCCCUUCCCCAGCAGUGUCACAGAGUGUCGUGGACCAAGAAGUCUCGUUUCCUUUCAUCUGGGCCAGGUCAUCCAGUGGCCUCUGUGUCCCCCUGCAUACUCUGGUGUAACUUUUUAGAACCGAGAGUUUUCUGUGCUGUGCAUCCUUGUCCUCUCGCCCCCCAAUAAAUCGUGAAACUGCC
Long non-coding RNA from Diceros bicornis minor, 1709 nucleotides. RefSeq lists it as uncharacterized. The transcript is spliced from 6 exons. The record is from RefSeq and is a predicted model, not a curated record. NCBI's taxonomy places the organism in Eukaryota, Metazoa, Chordata, Mammalia, Perissodactyla, Rhinocerotidae.